RNAcentral lists this ribosomal RNA (158 nucleotides) under Neofusicoccum parvum. RNAcentral's name for it is "5.8S ribosomal RNA". The stretch from base 20 to 158 matches the Rfam family "5.8S ribosomal RNA". Rfam says of the family: 5.8S ribosomal RNA (5.8S rRNA) is a component of the large subunit of the eukaryotic ribosome. It is transcribed by RNA polymerase I as part of the 45S precursor that also contains 18S and 28S rRNA. Functionally, it is thought that 5.8S rRNA may be involved in ribosome translocation. The record is from RNAcentral. Lineage: Eukaryota; Fungi; Ascomycota; Dothideomycetes; Botryosphaeriales; Botryosphaeriaceae.
AAACAAGUUAAUAAACUAAAACUUUCAACAACGGAUCUCUUGGUUCUGGCAUCGAUGAAGAACGCAGCGAAAUGCGAUAAGUAAUGUGAAUUGCAGAAUUCAGUGAAUCAUCGAAUCUUUGAACGCACAUUGCGCCCCUUGGUAUUCCGAGGGGCAUG